RNAcentral lists this ribosomal RNA (253 nucleotides) under uncultured bacterium. RNAcentral describes it as "partial 16S ribosomal RNA". It matches the Rfam family "Bacterial small subunit ribosomal RNA", at positions 524 to 776 of the family's 1533-position model. The record is from RNAcentral.
UACGAAGGGAGCUAGCGUUGUUCGGAAUUACUGGGCGUAAAGGGCGCGUAGGCGGCCAUGUAAGUCAGAUGUGAAAGCCCCGGGCUUAACCUGGGAACUGCAUUUGAUACUGCAAGGCUAGAGGAUGAGAGAGGAAAGUGGAAUUGCGAGUGUAGAGGUGAAAUUCGUAGAUAUUCGCAAGAACACCAGUGGCGAAGGCGGCUUUCUGGCUCAUUACUGACGCUAAGGCGCGAAAGCGUGGGGAGCAAACAGG